GUCAUAAAAUUGGGUUAUAUGUCAGUAGUCCCUAACAAUGAUUUGACAAGAAUCUCAAGUUCUUGAUCUACUUUGAAAGCAUGAAACUUGAAAUAAGAGAAGACAGACAAUUUAUAACUAAGAUUUCUUGGAUUUAAUAUAGUUAUUAUAGCCAACAAGAUAGGAUUUUCUGGGACAUUCUUGAGUAAAAGUAAUUAUUACCCAGUAAUGAUAUUUAUCAGGCCAUAUGUUCUAAUUUUGGCUUGGAAACUGACUAAAUGUAAAGUGUGUGGAGCAGUAGUGGGCAGAGGGAACCAGCUCCGGAGCUGCAAAACCAGCCUGGCAGUCACCGGCAUAACAUCCUUGGAGCUAUCAUUUGUUUUCACUUGCAAUCUACAGCUUGGAGCAUGGUUGGUUCUAGAAACUCUCCAGCCAAAUUUACACCUGAUUAGCCCUGAGCUAACAUCUGCCGCCAAUCCUCCUCUUUUUGCUGAGGAAGACUCGUCCUGAGCUAACAUCUGUGCCCAUCUUCCUCUACUUUAUAUGUGGGAUGCCUGCCACAGCAUGGCGCGACAAGCACUGUGUAUACUGCGCCUGGGAUCUGAACCAGAGAAUCCUAGGCUGCUGAAGUGGAAUGUGCGAACCUAAGCACUACAUCACUGGGCCAGUCCCAAAAUAUUUGUAUAUAUAUUUUGUGAUUUCUUGUUCAGAGUCUAAUUCUAACAGAAGGCUCAGUUGUCUCUAUAAAGGUUUAUCUGUAAAGAUAUUUUCCAAGAAAGAUGUAGCCCUGAUUUUAAUGGGUGGUCUCAGCAGUGGCCUUUUUGUAUCAUACCUGUGGUUCACCACAGCAUGGUUCCCACAAGAUCCAGGAAAUUCAGCCCAUUAGCACAGAAAUGACAUUUGGUUUAGAUUGUAAGCUCUGAUAGCACAAGGGGCGUGUCUAUUUUCUUCAUUGUUAUUUGUACGGUUCUGAGUGAAGUGGCUGUUGCAUAAUAUAUAACUAUUAAGAGAAUGAACAAAUUCAGAUCCCCUGGGCUACCACUCCUCUGAGCUAGGAAGAACUUCAAUGAUGUUCACUACAUAAUAAAGGAAGAAAUCAGGAAACUUUAUUCAAGGUCUGUUUCUGACAUUAAUAAAAUGUGUGACCUCUUCAACUUUUUUCAUCUGUAAAGUGUAGUGAAUUGGAAGAGAUGAUUUGAAUGUUCCUUUAGGUGUAACAACCCAGAAAGAAGCAGAAAGAUGAUGACCAAAAUGACAGAGAUCAAUAUUAUCGGAUAGCAAAAGGCCUCAAGGGCUUACUUCAACAAAGUGCAUCCUGACAGUGGAAACUGACAACCAUCUCCCAGCGUGAAACACUAACUCUAUUGUAGCAGCUGGAGAUGGAGAUGUGGAGGUCAUCAUGACCACAAGUAUGUCAGGGUCAAAAAGCACCAACAGCAACAAGUCUUAAA
RNAcentral lists this long non-coding RNA (1430 nucleotides) under Equus caballus (horse). Its description in RNAcentral is "lncRNA (ENSECAG00000047900.1)". Lineage: Eukaryota; Metazoa; Chordata; Mammalia; Perissodactyla; Equidae. The record is from RNAcentral.